AUAUAUAAGUGUCAAAAUUGUCGUAACUCAAUUUUCUUUGAAAUUUUGAAGGAAUCUUUUUAAUUCCUAAAGCCCUCAAGUUUUCGCUAUAUUAAAAAUUAUCGUAACUCUUUUAAUAUAUAGAUAAAUUUUUUUAUUGGAUUUUACGAAACCUGACCACUUUUAAUCGUGUGAAUAAGAAAAGUAGAAGCUCCUAACUUAACGUUUUCUAUACGUGAGAUCUAAACCUCUCCAAUCAAUUCACUUUUGAUUGUAGUAGGGGACUUUCUCUCCUUAUCUUUUCUUCUACAUUCUUCUUUUUUUUUUUUUUCUUUCUAAAUUUAAUCCUUCACUGUGUUGAUAUGGAUGCGGAAAUGGAGGAACUUUGGAAGAAGUUUAAUCUUUCUAUAAGAUGGAUAUCAAAAGUUGAGGCAUCAGAAGAGCUUUGUAUAGAAAGUGGUUUUGCACUUACAUAACAUGGAUUUCCUUUCAUCUUUUGACUUUCAAAGCACUAUACAAACAACUGAAAGGGAGCAGAGGAAUCAUGGGAGGAUUGCCUAAAAUUGCUCAAGUGGAUGAACCCAAUUCUUCAAAUUUUCAGGAAAUAAACCCAGCAGGAAAGGGCCCAUGCUACUAGUACCACUGCUCUCAUAUGCAAAAGCAAUUGAAUCAUCGAAAAAGUCCCAAUGUUGUACUUUUGCUUGUUUAAAAACUCUUGGGCUCUGAAAUUGUGCAAAUAGUCAACAACUGGCUUGAUGCUAGGUGGAAAAGGUGGGAACUACUCCAACAAUGCUCAAUUAUCCUUGAGAUUGGAAUUUAGUUUUGAAGGAUCAGACAAUCCACUAUUUCUAAAGGUGUGAGAGAAGGUUGGAAUUCUAAACCAGCUAGAGUUGGUUUUUCCUCAAAAAAGCUUCAGUUUUUGGCAACUGCUACUUGGGAUGUUCUACCACUACCUAAUGGAGCAUCAGGUUUUUUAUUAAAAUCAGAAUAUUACAUAGGUACUUAAACAGUUUGGAAAGUCUCACUUGCUGAUAUUGGAGUAACCCUGUGUUGUGAGAUCAUUUAAAAAGUAAUCAGGUAGAAAUAGGUUGGGGCUGCUCUAAUCCUUGAGAUUUGAAUUGAUUUUUGAAGGAUCAAACAGUCCAGGAUUUUGAAAGAAAUGAGACAAGGUCAGAAUUCUAAAUCAGACAAGAGCGAUGUUUCUUCAGGAAAAAAAAAAAAAAUCUGGUACUACUUAUGCAUCUACAAGGAAAAAAUUGACUUAAUUCUCUCAAUCCUUAUAUUGUCAGAUUAAGAAUCCUUUUUGUUCUUUCUCCAUUGACAGAUUUUGUUUAUUACAAGAAAUAUUCAAUUUGCAUGCAAGAAUAUGCUACGAAUGGAACAAGUUUCAUCAUCUACCAGUACCUUUUUGAGGAUAUCUAAAAAGCUUCUUUUUUUUCUUUUUUUCUUUUUUGAGAAUGAAAAAAGAAAAAGCUUUUUAGAAAUUUCUAAAAAGCUUAGUGGUUAAUUUUUCAAAGAUGUUUAUCAGUUUUUUUUUUUUGGGAGAAUCUGUUUGAAGAUUUGAUUUUGAUAUAUAAAUUGAUACAUAUUAUGUGCGGUUA
Quercus robur (English oak) is the source of this 1580-nucleotide long non-coding RNA. RefSeq lists it as uncharacterized. The record is from RefSeq and is a predicted model, not a curated record. The transcript is spliced from 8 exons. NCBI's taxonomy places the organism in Eukaryota, Viridiplantae, Streptophyta, Magnoliopsida, Fagales, Fagaceae.